RNAcentral lists this small nuclear RNA (144 nucleotides) under Dasypus novemcinctus (nine-banded armadillo). RNAcentral's name for it is "U1 spliceosomal RNA (ENSDNOG00000027620.1)". It matches the Rfam family "U1 spliceosomal RNA". From Rfam's summary of the family: U1 is a small nuclear RNA (snRNA) component of the spliceosome (involved in pre-mRNA splicing). Its 5' end forms complementary base pairs with the 5' splice junction, thus defining the 5' donor site of an intron. Lineage: Eukaryota; Metazoa; Chordata; Mammalia; Cingulata; Dasypodidae. The record is from RNAcentral.
AUCCUUACCUGGCAGGGUAGAUACCAUGAUCACCAAGGUGGGUUUCCCAGGGAAAGGCUUAGCCACUGUAUUCCAGAUGCGAUGACCCUGCAAUGUCCCCAAAUGUAGGAAACUUGACGGCAUAAUUUGUGCAUUUGUGCUCUC